Molecule: ribosomal RNA, 891 nt
Filed under: Triticum aestivum (bread wheat)
Lineage: Eukaryota; Viridiplantae; Streptophyta; Magnoliopsida; Poales; Poaceae
Description: partial small subunit ribosomal RNA
Source: RNAcentral
AUGACGAGCAAGCAGGAGCCCUGGACUCGACUUUCCCACAGUAAGAAGUUACCAGGAUGGGUCGCGUACAAUCCAAAGACCAUGAGGCCUCCACCAUUGAGCGGCGAUACCAAGCAAAUGAAGAUUCUAUCCUGGAAUGUCAAUGGGCUGAGAAAUAUUGUACAGUCAGGAGGUUUCUUUUCUGCAUUGGCUCAGAGGGAGAAUUUUGAUGUGUUGUGUCUUCAAGAGACACAUUUGAAGGAGGGUGAUGUUAAAGAUUUCAUGAACCUGAUACCAGGGUAUGAGUAUAAUUAUUGGUCAUGCAGUGUCGCGAGGCUUGACUAUUCAGGGACUGGAGUAAUUUCACGGGUAAAACCAAUCUCUGUCCAAUAUGGAAUUGGCAUAGCUGAACAUGAUCAGGAGGGCAGGGUUAUUACUUUGGAGUUUGAGAACUUCUACUUGGUGAAUGCUUAUGUCCCAAAUUCUGGCCGUGGUUUACGUAGAUUGGUUUACAGGGUUGAUAACUGGGAUCCAUCUUUCGCCGACUUUGUCGAAAAACUGGAAAGUUUCAAGCCAGUAAUUGUUUGUGGUGAUCUCAACUGUGCUCGUCAGAGUAUUGACAUUCACAAUCCUCCAGCCAAAACUGAAGAUGCAGGUUUCACCGAAGAAGAGAGGGAAUCAUUCCAGAUAAACUUUGAUAUGAGAGGCUUCGUUGAUACCUUCAGAAAGCAGCAUCCCAAGGCUGUGGGUUACACCUUCUGGGGUGAAAAUCAGCGGCGCAACAACAAAGGUUGGCGGCUGGAUUACUUUCUUGCGUCAGGAUCCAUCAUCGACAGGGUCCAUGAUUCGUACAUCCUCCCGGACGUGACAUCCAGCGACCACAGUCCAAUUGGCCUUGUGCUCAAGCUCUAG